Molecule: ribosomal RNA, 253 nt
Filed under: uncultured bacterium
Lineage: Bacteria
Description: partial 16S ribosomal RNA
Rfam family: Bacterial small subunit ribosomal RNA
Source: RNAcentral
UACGUAGGGUGCGAGCGUUGUCCGGAAUUAUUGGGCGUAAAGGGCUCGUAGGCGGCCUGUCGCGUCUGCUGUGAAAGCCCGGGGCUCAACCCCGGGUCUGCAGUGGAUACGGGCAGGCUAGAGUCCGGCAGGGGAGACUGGAAUUCCUGGUGUAGCGGUGAAAUGCGCAGAUAUCAGGAGGAACACCGGUGGCGAAGGCGGGUCUCUGGGCCGGUACUGACGCUGAGGAGCGAAAGCGUGGGGAGCGAACAGG